GGGGAAACAGACCGUCUAUAUUGUCCUUUUUGUUAGUUUUAGAUUGCGUUUUAUUAUUUGUUGUGUGUUUGGGACGAUAUAUUUUUGGUUGUGUUUUUCGUGUUUUAACUUUGAUAGACUGACAGACACCGUAAAGAGGAAGGCCUAGGACGAGAUGGACGGACGACAUCAAAAAGUUCGACAAAGAAUGGAUCGAAUCACAGGAUCAAGAGAGGGGUAACCGCGAUUAGCGCGCUUAUUGCUGUAUGUUGUGUUGGAUUGGCAUUUGUUUAUUGACGUAAACACGUUAUGCGGCUUAUUUAUCAGGGAAAUUGUUUCGAUCAAUUUCUAAAACGUAACCAUUACGUUUAAACGUGUGUUGUUUGUAUUUGAUUAAUAUUCAAUUUUAUAAAAUUUACUCAUUUCCAUAAAUUCACGGUUACACACAACUUGGAAUGGUGGCUCACAUGGUGGCACAAUUUUUAAUUUCUAAAUUAACACGGGAGCGAUACCUUGGACGCAACUAGGAAUAAAUAGAUGGCACAGUCAACAGUACAUGAUCUUACCCAAAUUCAUUGCAAACUCGUCGCUAUUACCGCGCCACAGAGGUUCAUGCAGGGUAACCUGAUGUGCUGUUGACCGUAUAAUGAAUUAACAACGAAUAUUCCUCUUCAACUGUAUUCCUCAUUAUUGCACUUCUUUAAAACGUUACAAAUAUAUGCCAAAAUAGGCAAAUACAAGUAGAUACACAGAAACAUUUAUAUUCUAACACCUAGCUUAGAUUUGCGGUUAGCGUAUGCACGGUGACUGGGCAUCCGUCAGCCGAUAUCUAUCCGGCGAAAAUCAGAAAUAACCGGUGCAGAAGCCGGUCGGAACUAGUUUGCGCUAGACAUAUCCGGUUAGUGGACACGCGGCCCGACGUGUCGUGCGGUUUGUGCUCGAAACGCUGAAGCGAAAGGUUUCUGGCUCUGGUUAGAAAUUAAACAGAUAUCUUUACUUAGGAAAUUCAUAAAUGGAAAACUACAAAAAAAAAUAUCAUAAUCAUUAACACUGAGCUAAUAUGAUAGUGGCGCUAGUGUGCGCUUCAUACACUCUUAAGAUAACCUUAAAACUUAAAAUUAAAGAAAACUUUAAAACAAAGGACCCUAUAGUUGUCAAAUUGUUUUUAUUAUCUUCUGGAUUUGAUGGUCAGGGAUACGUUCAUACUGAGAAAUGAAUUUAGAUUUCUUACGCUAUGAAAUUGGAAGAUUUAUAUGAAAAAUGUAAUAUUUGUAGUCGUUACGGAUUAUAAGCCAAGCGACAUUAUGACAAAUAUAUAAGAUUUGUUUGUGUUUCUUACAUGC
Plodia interpunctella (Indianmeal moth) is the source of this 1322-nucleotide long non-coding RNA. RefSeq lists it as uncharacterized. The record is from RefSeq and is a predicted model, not a curated record. NCBI's taxonomy places the organism in Eukaryota, Metazoa, Arthropoda, Insecta, Lepidoptera, Pyralidae. The transcript is spliced from 3 exons.